UGGGGAAUAUUGCACAAUGGGGGAAACCCUGAUGCAGCGACGCCGCGUGAGCGAAGAAGGCUUUCGAGUCGUAAAGCUCUGUCCUAUGAGAAGAUAAUGACGGUAUCAUAGGAGGAAGCCCUGGCUAAAUACGUGCCAGCAGCCGCGGUAAUACGUAUGGGGCGAGCGUUGUCCGGAAUUAUUGGGCGUAAAGGGUACGUAGGCGGUUUUUUAAGUCAGGUGUCAAAGCGUGGAGCUUAACUCCAUUAAGCACUUGAAACUGAAAGACUUGAGUGCAGGAGAGAAAAGUGGAAUUCCUAGUGUAGCGGUGAAAUGCGUAGAGAUUAGGGGGAACACCGGUGGCGAAAGCGGCUUUUUGGCCUGCAACUGACACUGGGGCGCGAAAGCGUGGGGAGCAAACAGG
This 403-nucleotide ribosomal RNA is filed under the name Verrucomicrobiota bacterium. RNAcentral's name for it is "Verrucomicrobia bacterium partial 16S ribosomal RNA". It matches the Rfam family "Bacterial small subunit ribosomal RNA", at positions 355 to 776 of the family's 1533-position model. The record is from RNAcentral. Lineage: Bacteria; Pseudomonadati; Verrucomicrobiota.